This is a long non-coding RNA of Eriocheir sinensis (Chinese mitten crab), 3654 nucleotides long. RefSeq lists it as uncharacterized. NCBI's taxonomy places the organism in Eukaryota, Metazoa, Arthropoda, Malacostraca, Decapoda, Varunidae. The transcript is spliced from 3 exons. The record is from RefSeq and is a predicted model, not a curated record.
ACACACACACACACACACACAUCCAUGCCCCCCCCCGCAGACGCACACAAGCACCACUCCGAUAGCUCAGUGGUAAGGCUCAGCGGAGGUUCGGGGCCCCCUCAAGAUAGGAGUUUUCCACUGACAAGGAGCGGUUACUGUCCCCCUUUGUGCGAUGAGGCUGCGGUGUGUGGGGUGUGAAGGGCCGCCAGUACCCAGAGAUUGACUAAUGGGCCUCGUUCUAACCGGGAGGGUACUUGUUGGUCAUGACGAGUCCAGUUUGUGAUCAGGCCGUGGUGAGUUACACACACACACACACACACACACACACACACACACACACACACACACACAUUACAGGAAAGAGGUAGAUAACGGGGAUUUCAACAACUCUCUCUCUCUCUCUCUCUCUCUCUCUCUCUCUCUCUCUCUCUCUCUCUCUCUCUCUCUCUCUCUCUCUCUCUCUCUCUCUCUCUCAGCAGAACACAUUCGUCCCCUUGUUCGAGAAGCGAAUUAACACUAAUAAAAGCCCACCGUGGUUUAAUAGCGAAAUUAAACAAUCAGUCAAUGAGAGAAAAUUGUUUUACAGGUUAAAGAAAGAACAAAGCACGCCCGAAAACAUUAGACUUUAUAAUGGUGCCAGGCGACGAGUAAAAAGAUUAGUAUGUCAGGCAAAGCGUAGAUAUGAAGAAAAUAUUGCAGCCAACUGUAAAAAUAAUCCGAAAUCUUUCUUCAAUUACAUAAACAACAGAAAGGCGAUCAAAAGUGGUAUUGGACCUUUAACAAACAGCGACGGUGCACUAGUGACUGACAGCCAACACAUUGCAAACCUCGUAAGCAAUUACUUUUCCUCGGUGUUUAAUACUAACAGUCUUCCUCCCACUACCACCAACACCAGUACUAUUGUAAAUCUCGAGCAUGCAUUGCCUAAUUUUGAAAUAACAACCGAUGAAGUCCUUAAAGCUCUCCAUUCACUUAAAGCGAAUAAAAGUCCCGGACCCGACAAAGUAUAUCCUAUACUGCUUAAAGAAACAAAGAGCGAAAUACUCUCCUCCCUCACUACCGUAUUCAAUAUGUCCUUGCGACAAGGCAUCGUCCCUUCGGAUUGGAAAAAGGCUAACGUGACACCGAUUUUUAAGAAAGGAGACAAAAAAAUACCUGGUAACUACCGACCCAUUAGUCUAACUUCAAUUGUAGCUAAGCUACAAUUGAAUUGUGAGUUACCUCGAAAGCCACUCAUUAAUUGGGGAUUCACAACAUGGCUUCCGUAACAAAAGAUCCUGCCUGUCAAACCUACUGACCUUUUAUAACGAUCUCUUCUCAGUUUAUGACGUAACCAAAUCAUUGGACGUAGUCUAUCUUUAUUUCCAGAAAGCGUUUGAUAAAGUCCCACAUCAUAAAUUACUUUAUAAAUUAAAGCAAAUAGGUAUUGACGGUCAAGUAAACCAAUGGAUCGCAAAUUGGUUGAGCAACAGACAACAAAGAGUUGUGAUUGACGGAUUUAACUCAGAGUGGGCGCCGGUCACUAGUGGCGUCCCUCAGGGCUCGUUUCUUGGCCCAGUGCUCUUCAUUAUUUACAUCAACGAUGUGGAUGUUGGACUCAAAAAUCACAUUAGUAAAUUUGCUGACGACACAAAGAUUGGUAACUCGGAUCUCACUGACGAAGACAGGCAAAGCCUCCAAGAGGAUUUGCACAAAAUUUCAGCUUGGCCGGAUAAAUGGGAGAUGCCCUUUAACGAAGACAAGUGCCAGGUCCUUCAAGUUGGAACAAAAAAUAAGAAGUUCGAUUACGAAAUGCGCGGCGUUAAACUCACAAGCGUUUAAUGCGUUAAGGACCUGGGGGUCGAAAUCGCGUCAAACCUCAAAUUCUCACAGCAAUGCAUCGAUACAGCAAAUAAAUCGAACAGAAUGUUGGGCUUCAUUAAAAGAAACUUUUUAUUCAAGAAUAAAGAUGUAAUACUUCCGCUCUACAAUAGUUUAGUCAGACCCCACUUGGAAUAUGCGGUACAGUUUUGGUAUCCCCACCAUGCAAAGGACAUUGCUAAAUUAGAAGGUGUUCAGCGUCGGGCAACAAAAUGAUCCCUUCCCUGCGCAACAAAUCCUACGAAGAAAGACUUUCCACCGCUAACAUGUUCUCACUUGAGAAACGUCGCCUCCGAGGAAAACUGAUCGAAUGUUUUAAAAAACUUAAUGGUUUCACGAAUGUAGACAGAACAAAAUUGUUUAUGAUCGAUGACACUUUGCGAACGAGGAACAAUGGCAUAAAACUCAAAUGUAGACAAGUAAAUUCAGACUGCACCAAAUUUUCUUCACCAACGUUGUAGUGCGAGAAUGGAAUAAGCUCCCACCGCCAGUGGUCCAGUGUAACACGACUGACUCCUUUAAAAAUAAGCUCGACCGUCACUUCCUUCAACUUAAUAUUAACUAGAGUAGAAAAGCAACGUUUUGGAGCCAUCUGAUUAAUGUAGAUUCACUUAGGUUUAAGGACAGACCACCUAGUCUGGACCAUGGGGUCUGUGUGGUUUGAUUUUCCAUGUAAUUCUAUGUAAUUCUCUCUCUCUCUCUCUCUCAUACUAAUAUAAUGCUAACACAAUAUGUAUUUCUCCUCUCCUAUGCUCCUUGUCAUAAUUUGCCACAUCUUAACAUCUCAUACCUAUUAUAAGAGUAAUAAGGUAAUAAGAAAAUAAUAAUAAUAAAUUGCACAUGAUAACUCACUCACUGCUUCCCCUUCGCUAAAACCACAAUUAUUUAUCUAUGCACACACACACUGUCUCUAAAGACAGAUCCUCUCUUUAUCCACACCACACUACAUUCUCACAACAUAUACACCUUUUCCCAAAAUUAAAAUUUCAAAAUGGCGCACAUACACCAAGCCUCGGAGUCCCCGCCUGGGGGGGGGACCACAAAUUCCCCCAGGGAGGACUCCCCUUCUGGCUGCCGACCCGAGAGGUGUCUUGAUAACUCCUCGAACCUCUUUCUUCUCAAUUUCUGCAACAUUCGCGGUCUUCGCUCUAAUUUUCAUUCUGUGGAACAUCAUCUCUCCUCCUCUAAACCUCACCUUCUCUUCCUUACCGAAACACAGGUUUCUGAGGCUACUGACAGCAAUCUCUACUCUGUUCCCUCCUACUAUCUCUAUCCUAAAUUUCAAUCCAAAGUUGGAUGUUGCGCCUACGUGCGCAACGACAUCACUUGCUCUCGUGCCCACGACCUUGACUCUUCUGAAUUUUCCACCAUCUGGUUAAGACUUCACUGUCAUUCUAUUACUAAAUACAUCUGUGCUGUUUAUCUUUCACCUAACUCUACCAACUAUGUAAAAUUCUUUGACUAUUUGAAUUCUAAAGUGGAGCACAUCUUGACCCACUCUCCUUCGCUGAAAUCUCCAUCCUAGGAGAUUUCAAUGUUCACCACCAGCUUUGGGUUUCAUCCUCUUUCACUGACCAUCCUGGUGAACAAGCCUACAACUUUGCUAUCCUCAACGACCUAGAGCAGUUGGUCCAGCACCCUACACGUAUUCCUGACCGUCUUGGAGAUCGGCCCAACAUUCUAGACCUCUUCCUUACCUCAAACCCUUCUGCUUAUUCUGUCAAACUGUUCUCUCCGUUGGGCUCCUCCGAUCACAAUCUUAUUUCUGCAUCCUGUCCUAUCGCUCCUGUACACCCUCUGGACCCACCGAAG